This is an RNA transcript of Numida meleagris (helmeted guineafowl), 3819 nucleotides long. It is a transcript of the gene named ubiquitin associated protein 2 like, with no coding region annotated. The record is from RefSeq and is a predicted model, not a curated record. The transcript has 29 exons. NCBI's taxonomy places the organism in Eukaryota, Metazoa, Chordata, Aves, Galliformes, Numididae.
GUCACCUGCGCGUGCCGCAUCACGUGGGAGCGAAGCCGGGCCGGCCCCGCCCCCGCCCGCGUCACGUGAUGGGGGCGGGCGCCGCUGGGCAGUGUCAGUGUGGUGGAGACUCAGAGUUCUACCUUGUAAAUACUGUUAUUUGUAUAUACUGUAAAUGAUGACAUCGGUGGGCACUAACCGAGCCCGGGGGAACUGGGAGCAGACACAGACACAGAGCCAGACACAGCACAAGCAGCGGCCGCAGGCCACUGCGGAACAGAUUCGACUUGCACAGAUGAUUUCGGACCACAACGACGCCGACUUUGAGGAGAAGGUGAAACAACUGAUUGACAUCACAGGCAAGAACCAGGAUGAGUGUGUGAUUGCUCUGCACGACUGCAAUGGGGAUGUUAACAGAGCCAUCAAUGUGCUGCUGGAGGGCAAUCCGGACACGCAUUCCUGGGAAAUGGUCGGGAAGAAGAAAGGCGUCUCGGGACAGAAGGACAGCGGACAGACAGAACCCAGCGAGGAGAGCAAAGAGAACCGCGAGAGAGAUCGGGAUUUCAGCAGACGACGCGGCGCGCCGCCGCGGCGGGGCCGAGGUGCCAGCCGUGGCAGGGAGUUUCGGGGCCAGGAGAAUGGGCUGGAUGGUGGGAAGAGUGGAGGCUCUUCUGGAAGAGGCACGGAGAGAGGGAGACGGGGACGUGGCCGGGGCCGAGGUGGCUCUGGAAGGCGGGGGGGAAGAUUCUCUGCCCAAGGCAUGGGAACUUUCAACCCGGCUGACUACGCCGAGCCGGCCAGCACGGACGAGAGCUAUGGGAAUAGCAACACCAACACGUGGAACAACACGGGCAGCUUCGAGCCGGACGAUGGCACAAGACUUGAUUUCAUUGGGGGUGAGGGCUCAAAUUAUCCUCGAAAAUUUGACACUGCUCCUGGUACGAUACAUCCAGGUGCGUGGAGGGCUGCGACGGAGGAGUGGGGCACGGAGGACUGGAAUGAAGAUCUGUCUGAGACAAAGAUCUUCACUGCCUCCAACGUGUCUUCAGUGCCUCUGCCUACAGAGAACGUGACAAUCACCGCCGGACAGAGAAUCGACCUUGCAGUGCUGCUAGGAAAGACACCAUCUUCCAUGGAGAAUGAGUCAACAAACCUGGAGUCAUCCCAGGCCCCCUCCCUGGCGCAGCCCCUGGUGUUCAGCAAUUCCAAGCAGAGUGCUAUGUCCCAGCCGGCCUCUGGGAACUCCUUCUCUCACCACAGCAUGGUGAGCAUGCUGGGGAAAGGGUUUGGAGAUGUCGGGGAGGCCAAAGGCAGCAGCACCACGGGCUCGCAGUUCCUGGAGCAGUUCAAGACGGCCCAGGCUCUGGCCCAGCUGGCGGCUCAGCACAGCCAGCCGGGCAGCAGCACCGCCGCCUCCUCCUGGGACAUGGGAUCGGCGACGCAGACCUCGUCCCUCGUGCAGUACGAUCUCAAGAACCCAACAGACUCUUCUGUGCACAGUCCCUUUGCCAAGCGGCAGGCCUUCACGUCCGCUUCGACGAUGAUAGAGGUGUUCAUGCAGGACAAGCAGCCUGUGGUGACCGCCUCCACCACCGUGCCGGCGCCGCCGUCUUCGCCGCUGCCCAGCAAAGCCAACCCCGUUCCCCAAAUGUCCCCGGGCUCCUCAGACAACCAGUCCUCCAGUCCCCAGCCAGCACAGCAGAAGCUGAAGCAGCAAAAGAAAAAAGCGUCGUUAACAUCCAAGAUUCCUGCGCUCGCGGUGGAGAUGCCUGGCUCAGCAGAUAUCUCAGGGCUAAACCUGCAGUUUGGGGCGUUACAGUUUGGUUCGGAGCCUGUUCUCGCGGAGUACGAAUCGACGCCCACGACGAGCGCCGCCGUUAGCCAGUCUCAGAGCAGCCUGUACACCAGCACUGCUAGUGAAUCUUCAUCCACAAUUUCGUCCAAUCAAAGCCAGGAGUCUGGUUACCAGAGCGGCACAAUACAGACAGCAACGUUUACCUCCCAGAACAGCGCUCAGGGACCACUGUACGAACAGAGAUCCACCCAGACGAGGCGAUACCCAAAUUCCAUCUCCUCCUCGCCCCAGAAAGAUCUAACCCAGGCCAAGAAUGGUUUCAGUUCCGUACAACCCACGCCAUUACAAAGCACGCAGGCUGUGGAAGCAGGUGCUACAGGCCCCGCAGUGAAGUCCGAUUCCCCCUCUGCUCCCAGCAUCGCGCCUCUCAAUGACGGCGUGUCUGCGGCGUCGCUGCUGAGCACAGCCAGCCAGCACUCGACGGCUCUGAGCAGCCUGAGCCACAGCGAGGAGCUGCCCAGCACCACCACCACCCAGCUCAGCAGUACGUUACCCACCCAGCAGAACAGUCUGUCCUCAUCCACAUCCUCUGGGCGAACAUCAACAUCAACUCUUCUGCACACAAGUGUGGAGAGUGAAGCGAGCCUCCAUUCUUCUGCUAGCACUUUCUCCACCUCCUCCAGCACGGUGUCGGCUGCCCCGCCGGUCGUAAGCGUUUCAUCCAGCCUCAGCAGCGUCAGCAGCCUGGGCCUCAGCCUCAGCAGUAACUCCACGGUGACGGCCUCGACUCGCAGCUCCGUCGCAACGACAUCAGGAAAAGCCCCUCCCAACCUCCCCCCUGGAGUCCCGCCGUUGUUGCCUAACCCGUACAUCAUGGCUCCAGGAUUGCUACAUGCCUACCCGCCACAGGUGUAUGGAUAUGAUGACUUGCAAAUGCUCCAGACGAGAUUCCCACUGGAUUAUUACAGCAUCCCAUUCCCUACACCCACCACCCCACUGACUGGAAGAGAUGGCAGCCUGAGCAGCAAUCCGUACUCUGGUGACUUAACAAAAUUCGGUCGAGGCGAUGCCUCUUCCCCUGCUCCUGCAACGACUUUGGCGCAGCCUCAGCAGAGCCAGACCCAGACCCACCACACCACGCAGCAGACGUUCCUGAACCCAGCGCUGCCUCCUGGCUACAGUUACACCAGUCUGCCGUACUACACAGGGGUACCGGGGCUCCCCAGCACCUUCCAGUACGGGCCCGCCGUGUUCCCUGUUGCUCCUACCUCUUCCAAGCAGCAUGGUGUGAAUGUCAGCGUCAACGCAUCAGCAACCCCUUUCCAGCAGCCCAGUGGCUAUGGCUCUCAUGGAUACAGCGCUGGUGUAUCUGUGACAUCCAGUAACACAGGCGUGCCGGACAUCUCGGGCUCUGUCUACUCCAAAACUCAGCAAUCCUUCGAGAAGCAGGGAUUUCACACUGGAACCCCGGCAGCCUCCUUCAACCUGCCUUCAGCGCUGGGCAGCGGCGGCCCCAUCAACCCCGCAACGGCAGCCGCGUACCCCCCCACCCCCUUCAUGCACAUCCUGACCCCGCAUCAGCAGCCCCACUCACAGAUCCUCCACCACCACCUGCAGCAGGACGGGCAGGGCCGAUGAGGACGAGGUGAGGAAGGCCCGGGGUGCGCUCCGCUGGGGGGUACUCGGCACAGCCCCUUGCUGCCGGGCUGUACCAGGUACGGUCGGGUAGUGCCCCUGCACGCAGACACGCCUGGUCCGUCCUGACCUCCCGGUCCUCGGAGUGGCGGCUCCGCAGGCCGGCAGAGCUCCUCGCCACAGCCACGACCCCGCCGUAGCUUGCAGGUCUAACCGUGGAUUUCUAUUGUCAUAGUUUGUCCCUUUAUUUUACAUAUCCUGGUACUGCAACAGCUUCCAUAUUUGCAGAUGAUACUGUGCUGCCAACGCCAGCAGGAAGAUCAGAGCGGCUCCGGGCAGCGCAGCCAAGGCAGCUCCAUCCCCCAGAAAUCCCAGGCCAACAAGUCCGCCUACAACAGCUACAGCUGGGG